AGAAAGUUUCAACCCUGUGAAUUGAACAACUACAUCACAAAGUAUUUUCUGAGAAUGUUUCUGUCUAGUUUUUACGUGAAGAUAUUUCUUUUUCCACCAUGGGCAAGAAAGCACUCCAAAUGAACACUUGCAGAUUCUACAAAAAGUAUGUUUCAACCCUGCUGUAUCAAAAGAAAGUUUCAAGCCUGUGAGUUGAAUCCCCACAUCACAAAGCAGUUUCUGAGAAUGCUUCUGCCUAGUUUUUAGGUGAAGAUAUAUCCUUUUCCAUCUUAGGCCUCAAAUCUCUCCAAACAUCCACUUGCAGAUACUUCAAAAAGACUGUUUCAAAACUGCUCUCAAAAGGAAGGUUCAACUCUGUGAGUUGAAUGCACACAUCACAACGCAGUGUCUGAGAAUGCUUCUGUCUAGUUUGUAUGUGAAGAUAUUUCCUUUUCCAUCUUAGGCCUCAAAUCGAUCCAAAUAUCCAAUUGCAGAUACCACAAAAAGACUGCUUCAAAACAGCUCUCGCAAAAGGAAAGUUCAACUCUGUGAGUUGAAUGCACACAACACAGAGCAGUUUCUGAGAAUGCUUCU
Molecule: long non-coding RNA, 573 nt
Filed under: Homo sapiens (human)
Lineage: Eukaryota; Metazoa; Chordata; Mammalia; Primates; Hominidae
Description: HSALNT0326435
Source: RNAcentral